Long non-coding RNA from Cavia porcellus (domestic guinea pig), 1653 nucleotides. RefSeq lists it as uncharacterized. The record is from RefSeq and is a predicted model, not a curated record. NCBI's taxonomy places the organism in Eukaryota, Metazoa, Chordata, Mammalia, Rodentia, Caviidae. The transcript is spliced from 5 exons.
AGCAAGAGCAGAUGCAGCCGGGUCCCCGGGUCCCCGGGUUGGACCCAAGACAGAGCUAAGGGAGCCAGGCGGGAGAGCUUUGGUGUUGUCUACAAGCGGGGGUGGGCCCUCUGGGUGCCAGACACCACUGCUGGGUGCGAGGAUCCCGACAGGAGUAGGACCUCAGAGCAGCUUCCACUUGGAUUGACAGACUUUAAUGAAAUCAUUCAACUUUAAGCCCUGCAUUAAGAAUAGUCCAGAAGUCGUGCUGAGGAGUGAAGAGGACGCUGAGCCCUCUUCAUCAGAGCGGCAGCAGCUGCUGUUGGAAAGCACUAGGUGGGCAGCAGCCUGAAAGGACACAUGUUUAAGGCACUGAAGUGAGUGGCUGUGAUGAGGGGCAAAUAGGAGCAAGUGUGGAGAAGGAAGAUGAAAAUCACCUAAAAUAGAGCACAAGCCUGACCCAGAACAGUGACAAGCAAUUGCUGGGCAUCAAACCCAGGGCCUCGUUUACGUGAGGCAGUGCUCUACCAUUGAGCUAUGGCCCCAAGCCCUAGCUCUGAGAAGGAUCCAGCUGGGGUCUGGAUCUUACUGCCACAAAGCUACUGAUCCUUGGCAUGUCCCCAGCCUCUGAUUCUCUCUGUCCCCCAAGCCCUGCUCCUGGCCCAGUGUUUUUGCCCAUUUGGCGCUCUGCUUGGGCAGGAUUGGCUCUUACCAGCAGACCCCAAGCCCUUUCCUUAGCAGUCCCACAGAUGGGGUGAGAACUGCUCAACCCUCCAAUUACAACAUUCCCUGCCCCUCUGCCUGAAUGCUAUCCUCUUGUUCUAAAGAAGAAGCCCUAACCUGGGCAUGGUGUGGCCCAUCUGUAAUCCCAGCACUCUGGAAAGCCAGAAUAGGAGGAUUGCAAGUUCAAGCCCAGCCUGGGCAACUUAGCAAUUUAGCAAAACCCUGUCUCCAAAUUAAAUAAAAAUAAAAGUGGCUAGAGAUGUAGCUUAGUGCCAAGCCCCUAGUCCACUCCCCAGUACUCUGGGGGAAAAAAAAAAAGGCAAGGGCUGAAAGGAAGGAGGGACCCUAAUCAUUCAAUGCUGACAUCUUUUCUCUUCAAAAUACCAAGAAAAGAUGAACACAGAAGGGUGGGGUGUGCCGUGUAAAUUCAACUUUUCCCUCCUGGGGCCCUCCUUGUGAUAGGAGCACGAAAGCAAUUCAUCACAGUAAUGGUUGCUGAUUCCUCUGCAUUACGGUGACUGAUAGCCAGGCUGCCUGCACCUUGUCUUCCCAGCAUUCACUAAAGAGUAAUCCUGCAGUUUGUGGAGGGCAGGGAUGGCCAAGGGCUAUGAGGCAAGGAAAGAGUCACAGCUAAGCUUGUGUAUGGUUGGAGGGGCAGACAGAGGUACACAGACUAACAGCUGAGACAGUUCCUAGAGAAAACACAAAGUUGCGCAUUUAGGUGAACUGCUUCAUCCUGGCUUGCUGAAUGCCUCCGACACACCCUUUCCAAGCAAAAGGGCAGACAGGAUCAUUGCAGGCUGAAUGCUGAACCCUGGGAAGUCACCAACCUCAAAGACAGACCCAGAGGAGGGACAUGGAGUGAUGGCAGACCUUGUAAAGGUCUUUUUACCCCUAACCCACUAAGCGUGGAAUUAAGGGACAUAGCGGGUUAAACAACAUCUCCCAAAA